UAGGGAAUCUUCGGCAAUGGGGGCAACCCCUGACCGAGCAACGCCGCGUGAGUGAAGAAGGUUUUCGGAUCGUAAAGCUCUGUUGUAAGAGAAGAACGUGUGUGAGAGUGGAAAGUUCACACAGUGACGGUAACUUACCAGAAAGGGACGGCUAACUACGUGCCGG
RNAcentral lists this ribosomal RNA (166 nucleotides) under uncultured bacterium. RNAcentral describes it as "partial 16S rRNA". It matches the Rfam family "Bacterial small subunit ribosomal RNA", at positions 355 to 511 of the family's 1533-position model. The record is from RNAcentral.